This 834-nucleotide long non-coding RNA is filed under the name Mus spicilegus (steppe mouse). RNAcentral describes it as "lncRNA (ENSMSIG00000017451.1)". Lineage: Eukaryota; Metazoa; Chordata; Mammalia; Rodentia; Muridae. The record is from RNAcentral.
CAAGAUGCUGUAAGUAAACCCCACUUCCCCUACUCAGUCCUGUCUAGAGCUGGAACUUGCUGUGAAAUGGACAGAAGAUUGUUGGUCCCUGCCUUCUCAAGAAUACUCCAGAACCUUCCACCAUGUCUCUUUGUGAAACCGUCCCAGUGAACAGAGUCAGAAGUCCACAAGGACCCACCCUGAGACUCCUCGUGGCCUGCACACAUGGUAGAAUCAACUUCCAUAUGUUCUUGGGCCCUCACCAGCAAUACCCAGCGUGCCCCAUGCUGAGUCCCAAGGGAGCCAGGUAGAAAGGAUGACCCUACAGGCAAUGAGGGACACAAGACCAAGGAUUGCUGGCUACAGGAAAUGGAUCCUAGAAGGAGUCAUUUGUGGAUACCCCCUUGCAGCAGAGGGUCCCUGUUCUCUUGGCUGGUGCACUUGGCGCCUCCUCAGCUGGUGCCUUUUGACACUGUUUGGACUGAUUUUCAGCAGGCUCCUGGACUUUGGCAUCCCUUCUCCACAAAUACAGCCACCAAGAAGGCCACAGCCAUCCCCAGCCCUGGUGACGCUGGCCUUUGGCAGCAGACAGCUUAGCCCUCCUUCAUGUUCCUGCUGACAUCCGAGGAAAAGUCAUCGAGAUACCACGAAGCAAGCAGCACCUUCUUGCUAAAAGAGGUUUCCUUCUCAUGUCCCAGCGCAAUUCAGGCUGCAAGCCACCAGAGGAAACUUCAUUUUUACCCUACAUUUCCUGCCCAGUUCACUGUGUAAUUGGCCUGUGCUUCCCCCUCGGUGAUUUAGCAGGGAGUGCCUCAUCUUAUAAAAAGAAUAAAUCUGAAUAAAACCCAGGGAGCA